CCCUGUUUACCAAAACAUCUACUUGAUCUGAGUUCAUACCGGACGACCUGUUUACCAAAAACUGCUCCGUGAUCGAGAACUAGACCGGAGGGCCUGGAUGAUUACACUGUGUCCGGGGCUGAUCACUGAAACUGAUCCCCCCGUGAAGAAGCGGGGAUAAAUAUAUAAGACGAGAAGACCCUAUGGAGCUUUAAACUAAACACCACUUACCUUUAACCACUCCCUUACAAACAGGCAAAGAUCGUGUGUGUUUUCAGUUGGGGUGACUGCGGAGCAAAAUAAAACCUCCACGAUGAAACAAUCCUCUAAUCUAAGAACAACAUUUCAAAGAAUCAACAAAUUGACAUAAAUUGACCCAAAUAUUAAUUUGAUCAACGAACCAAGUUACCCUAGGGAUAACAGCGCAAUCCAUUUCAAGAGCUCAUAUCGACAAAUGGGUUUACGACCUCGAUGUUGGAUCAGGGUAUCCCAGUGGUGCAGCCGCUACUAAAGGUUCGUUUGUUCAACGAUUAAAACCCUACGUGAUCUGAGUUCAGACAGGAGAG
RNAcentral lists this ribosomal RNA (545 nucleotides) under Chiasmocleis carvalhoi (central humming frog). RNAcentral's name for it is "partial 16S ribosomal RNA". The stretch from base 139 to 545 matches the Rfam family "Bacterial large subunit ribosomal RNA", at positions 2049 to 2623 of the family's 2925-position model. The record is from RNAcentral. Lineage: Eukaryota; Metazoa; Chordata; Amphibia; Anura; Microhylidae.